This 1363-nucleotide long non-coding RNA is filed under the name Gossypium barbadense (sea-island cotton). RNAcentral describes it as "long non-coding RNA (GBAR_LNC014836)". Lineage: Eukaryota; Viridiplantae; Streptophyta; Magnoliopsida; Malvales; Malvaceae. The record is from RNAcentral.
GAUCAAGAACCAAAGAAAUCGGAGUUAGAUCGAGGAAAAGCUAAAGUCAUAGACUAAUUAUCCGGUUCCAUUUUUCACUGUCCGAGGUAAGUCUAUUAGUUAUUUAAUGUUAUUAUAUCAGUAUAUAUGUAUGUAUAUCUAUUUUAUUUUUGUUGAGCUAUAAUUAAAAGUAAUUCGAUUGAAUAAAUUUGAAGUAUAAAUGGUAUAUAUGUGUAUAUACAAUAUUCGAAUAUAUAGGUUUAUACUUAUAUAGAUAUUUUAAUUUAGUUAAAGUAAGAAAGGGUAUAUAGGUAUAUAUAUACAAUGUUCGAAUAUUUAUAUAUGAAUCUAUAUAUAUAUUUGUGAUGAAUUUAAUUGAAUGUAUGAGAGGUAUAUGUGUGCACAAGGUUCGAACAAAUAUGAGUAUAUAUAUGUAUAUAUUCUAGGUUUAAUCAAAGAUAUGUAUAUUAUAUAUAUAUAAGAUUCGAAUAUAUAUACAUAAGAAUAUACAUGCAUAAGCUUUUGGGUUGAUUAAAGGUAUGUAUUUUAUAAUUGUUUAAGUAGUUUCGAAUAUAUAUUCAUAUGCAAUUUUUAAAUAUGUAUGAGAUUAUAUAUAUGUAUAUGUUUUUAUAUUGAACUUAUGUAUGCAAUUAUAUAUAUGUAUGUUAUAGAUUCAAUUAUAUAUAUAUGAAUAAGUUUUGAACCUAGUUAAAGGUAAAAAUUGUGUAAAUAAAUACAUUUUGUGUUCGAAUAUAAAUGUAUAUACAUGUAUGGGUUGUUGAUUUUAGUUAAUGGUAUAAAUGUUAAAUAUAUUCACGAGAUUCGAAUAUAUAUAUGUAUAUUUAUGUAUUGGUUCUUGAAUAGGAUUAAAGGUAUAAAAUCUAUCUAUUUUUAUAAUUGAGGUUCGACUUUAUAUAUAUACGUGUAUAUAUAUAUGUUUAUGAAUUUAUAAGCACUUGAGUUGAAUUGAAGGUAUGAUUGGUAAACUCUGUUACGAUUUGAAUAUGGUAUAUAAUGAACAUGUGAUUGUUAUUAUGAAUGAUAUGAGGAAUUAUUUGUAUAUGUGAAAUUGAAAUUUUAGGCUCCGAGCCUAACAGGUUUAUUAACAGUGAAGUAAUCCAGACAUUACGUCUAGCAGACUUGAUGCCGGUGAAACAUACUAGACAUUACGUCUAGCAGGCUUGAUGCCGAUGAAACAUACCAGACAUUACGUCUAGUAGGCUUGAUGCCGGUGAAACAUAUCAGACUUUAUGUCUAGCAGGCUAAGUGUCGGUGUACUAAAACAGGCUUUAAGCCUAGCAGGCUAAAUGCCGGUGAUAUUGUUUAUAUUAUGUAUAUACAUGUACUGAAUGUGUAUAUGGAUUUUGUGGUAUGAAAUUGAAGA